RNAcentral lists this unclassified non-coding RNA (26 nucleotides) under Mus musculus (house mouse). RNAcentral describes it as "oocyte_clustered_small_RNA119". The record is from RNAcentral. Lineage: Eukaryota; Metazoa; Chordata; Mammalia; Rodentia; Muridae.
UGUCUAGUUUGCUCUGGGCCUGGAAA